GAGCGGACAGAUACGAAUCGGUCGAGGGCUUCACCCGCAAGCAAGGUCAUUUCAUAGCAGUCACAAGGUACAUAAGGAAUGGAAGCGGAGUUUGGUUCGAGCGAGCGCGUAUGAAGGCGAAAGCUGAAGUUGCGUGAGCAACAGGACAAACGAAGCAGGCACCAAAGUAGCAUCACAAACCGAUUGAAGCGGAGUUUGGACCGAGCGAACACAUCUGCAGGCCGAAGGCCGAAGCCGUGUGAGCGAGGAACAAGCGAAGCGAAGCGAAACAAAAUAUAGGUCUGGUGACCAUAGCGGAGGGGAAACACCCGUACCCAUCCCGAACACGGACGUGAAGACCUCCAGCGCCGAGAAUACUUGUCUCGAGAGGGACUGGGAAGGUAGGUCGUUGCCAGGC
RNAcentral lists this ribosomal RNA (397 nucleotides) under Alicyclobacillus sacchari. Lineage: Bacteria; Bacillati; Bacillota; Bacilli; Caryophanales; Alicyclobacillaceae. The record is from RNAcentral.